CCUACGGGUGGCAGCAGUGGGGAAUAUUGCACAAUGGGGGAAACCCUGAUGCAGCGACGCCGCGUGAGUGAAGAAGUAAUUCGUUAUGUAAAGCUCUAUCAGCAGGGAAGAAAAUGACGGUACCUGAGUAAGAAGACCCGGCUAACUACGUGCCAGCAGCCGAGGUAAUACGUAGGGGGCAAGCGUUAUCCGGAUUUACUGGGUGUAAAGGGAGCGUAGACGGGAGGUCAAGUCUGGAGUGAAAGGCGGGGGCUCAACCCCCGGACUGCUCUGGAAACUGUAUGGCUGGAGUGCAGGAGAGGUAAGUGGAAUGCGUGGUGUAGCGGUGAAAUGCGUAGAUAUUAGGAGGAACACCAGUUGCGAAGGCAGCUUACUGGACUGUAACUGACGUUGAGGCUCGAAAGCGUGGGGAGCAAACAGGAUUAGAUACCCUUGUAGUC
This 440-nucleotide ribosomal RNA is filed under the name uncultured bacterium. RNAcentral describes it as "partial 16S ribosomal RNA". It matches the Rfam family "Bacterial small subunit ribosomal RNA", at positions 338 to 795 of the family's 1533-position model. The record is from RNAcentral.